GUGUUGUCUUAAACAAGACAAAUUCAAUAUUUAUUAUCCUUUAAAAAAAGGCGCAGUUUUCUGCGCCUUUUUU
Molecule: small RNA, 73 nt
Filed under: Legionella worsleiensis
Lineage: Bacteria; Pseudomonadati; Pseudomonadota; Gammaproteobacteria; Legionellales; Legionellaceae
Description: Salmonella enterica sRNA STnc40
Rfam family: Salmonella enterica sRNA STnc40
Source: Rfam by way of RNAcentral